Molecule: transfer RNA, 77 nt
Filed under: Micromonospora qiuiae
Lineage: Bacteria; Bacillati; Actinomycetota; Actinomycetes; Micromonosporales; Micromonosporaceae
Description: tRNA-Ala
Source: RNAcentral
GGUUCUCGAGGUCGAUCGGCGGCGCGGCAUCCGGCCUUGGCGAGGCUGGCGAGUCUGUUCGUGGCGGUCGUGCACCU